UCGGGAAUUUUGGGCAAUGGGCGAAAGCCUGACCCAGCAACGCCGCGUGAAGGAUGAAGUAUUUCGGUAUGUAAACUUCGUAAGAAUAGGAAGAAUAAAUGACGGUACUAUUUGUAAGGUCCGGCUAACUACGUGCCAGCAGCCGCGGUAAUACGUAGGGACCAAGCGUUGUUCGGAUUUACUGGGCGUAAAGGGCGCGUAGGCGGUGUGUCAAGUCAGUUGUGAAAUCUCCGAGCUUAACUCGGAACGGUCAACUGAUACUGUCACACUAGAGUACAGAAGGGGCAAUCGGAAUUCUUGGUGUAGCGGUGAAAUGCGUAGAUAUCGGGAGGAACACCUGUGGCGAAGGCGGCCACCUGGUUGGAUACUGACGCUGAGACGCGAAAGCGUGGGGAGCAAACAGGAUUAGAUACCCCCGUAGUCCCUGAGCGGGCUGGCAAGGCGCAU
Molecule: ribosomal RNA, 447 nt
Filed under: uncultured bacterium
Lineage: Bacteria
Description: bacterial SSU rRNA
Rfam family: Bacterial small subunit ribosomal RNA
Source: RNAcentral